This 253-nucleotide ribosomal RNA is filed under the name uncultured bacterium. RNAcentral describes it as "partial 16S ribosomal RNA". It matches the Rfam family "Bacterial small subunit ribosomal RNA", at positions 524 to 776 of the family's 1533-position model. The record is from RNAcentral.
UACGGGGGGGGCAAGCGUUGUUCGGAAUUACUGGGCGUAAAGGGCUCGUAGGCGGCCAACUAAGUCGGAUGUGAAAUCCCCAGGCUUAACCUGGGAACUGCAUCCGAUACUGGAUGGCUUGAAUCCGGGAGAGGGAUGCAGAAUUCCAGGUGUAGCGGUGAAAUGCGUAGAUAUCAGGAGGAAUACCUAUGGCGAAAGCAGGUAUCUGGGCCAUCACUGACGCUGAGCCGCGAAAGCUAGGGGAACAAACAGG